GAACAAACUGUUCUGCUGAGCAAGGCAGGGACACAUCAAAGAUGCUGGCACUCCUUGGCUCUGGGGUCUGUGGGUCGCCUGUGCAGUCCUGUGAUGUGGGCAUUUACUUCCAUUUGCUAGGAGAGGAGGAAAACUAUGAGAAUGGAUCUUGGGGGAACCACAGGCACCAAGAGCUUUCUCAGGUGGUGUCAUUGGCAUAAAGACAGAACAUGAUUUUGACCUAAUUCAGAUCACCCAAUCAUGACCCCUGUGAUAUGUUUAUAACAGGAGCUAUAAAGACAGGCGAU
RNAcentral lists this long non-coding RNA (287 nucleotides) under Cricetulus griseus (Chinese hamster). Its description in RNAcentral is "lncRNA (ENSCGRG00000025223.1)". The record is from RNAcentral. Lineage: Eukaryota; Metazoa; Chordata; Mammalia; Rodentia; Cricetidae.